GCCUCAGGGGCCCUUUAGAAAUAUAAUAAUAAUAUAAAUUUAUUCUCUCUCUCUCUCUCUCUCGAAAUAAUCUCUCUCAAAAAAUGGCUACAUCGUCUAAAAAAUCAAGCGGACCGGUGUUACCAAUAGCGUCUGCGUUCCGGCGAUCGAUCUCUCCGUCUGGUCGGUUCUGCAAUUCGGCGAUGGGGAUUUCAGACGUAUCGUCGUUCGCCUCAUCAUCCUCGUCGUCGUUUACGUAUACUUCGAAUUCAUCGAGUGGUUUCUUCCAGAAUCACAGGUCAUCAUCUCCGACGCGCGUGAACCUUCACGCUAUGUCUUCUUCAUCUCCGACGCCGUCGGUAAGGUUCUCCAUCAACAGAUCUGACUCGACGCGACGUUCCAUGGCGGUAUCGCCACAAAAUCAGGUGGUACGAAAGCGCGAUGGUAACAGUAUGUCGCUGCAGAAGAGGACUUGCUUGUGCUCGCCUACUACCCAUCCCGGAUCGUUCAGGUGCGCUUUGCAUAAGAAUAAUUUUGGUAGCAAUAGUGGGAAUAAUCAUUCUAUAUCAUACUCGCCCAAUCGGUUGAACGCUCGGAGAUCGGCGAUGACGAAUUCUCUUGUGCGGAUCGGAACGGUUGAAGGCGAUUUGGUUAAGCGAGCUUUGGCGGCUCUGAUUCGGCCGUCGUCUCAUCAGCAGCGCCGCCGAGUCGAUUUCCAGCCUCGUCCUAGCCGUUUGUCUAUCAUGUCUAAAGCCGAGGAUCUGUGAGAAGUCUAGUUCUUUGGGUUACAGGUUGGUUCUAUUGAUACGGUUUAGAGAAGAAGUUUACUCUUCAGUGAUUUCCAGCGAAAGGGCCUUGGCCAGAUCUCGGUGGUUAUCGUGCCAAAUUUCCGGCGGGUUUUUGUACUCCGGGCAAUCGGAAACCUUAGCAAUUUUGGAAACAGGAGGAUCUGAAAUUGACUCAGUUGUGUACAUAUGAUUUGCGAAAUGAACGACACAUUUGGACAUUUAUCACAUCCAUACUGCACAAGAAUCUUAACUUAAAAGGGACAGUAUGUUAAGCAAUUUCAUUUAAUUGAACCCUGAAAAAUCUUAUUUCAAAUUAAAAACAAUAUUUAUUCAGAGUUCGUGUGUUCUUUGAGACUUCGAAUUUCGUAUUGGUUUGUUAAGUUCGUUGAAAUCAAUUUAAUCUCGUUCCCCGUGUGUGCUUGCAGCGUUGUGUGUUCCGUCCAGUUAGGCGUUGUGAUUGACGUAUAAUCCAUUCUCCCGUUCGCCGUCACGUUUCCGUUCGUCGUGUAUUCGUCUCCUGUUAAGGUAUUUCGUUAUUUCCUAUUUGUCAUUAUUUUCGUUUAUAAACAUAAUUUAUAUAUUUUGUUUGUUUUAACUGUUAUAUGUU
Molecule: long non-coding RNA, 1374 nt
Filed under: Olea europaea subsp. europaea
Lineage: Eukaryota; Viridiplantae; Streptophyta; Magnoliopsida; Lamiales; Oleaceae
Source: RNAcentral